AUUGAACGCUGGCGGCAGGCCUAACACAUGCAAGUCGAGCGGAUGAAGGGAGCUUGCUUCUGGAUUCAGCGGCGGACGGGUGAGUAAUGCCUAGGAAUCUGCCUGGUAGUGGGGGAUAACGUCCGGAAACGGGCGCUAAUACUGCAUACGUCCUGAGGGAGAAAGUGGGGGAUCUUCGGACCUCACGCUAUCAGAUGAGCCUAGGUCGGAUUAGCUAGUUGGUGGGGUAAAGGCCUACCAAGGCGACGAUCCGUAACUGGUCUGAGAGGAUGAUCAGUCACACUGGAACUGAGACACGGUCCAGACUCCUACGGGAGGCAGCAGUGGGGAAUAUUGGACAAUGGGCGAAAGCCUGAUCCAGCCAUGCCGCGUGUGUGAAGAAGGUCUUCGGAUUGUAAAGCACUUUAAGUUGGGAGGAAGGGCAGUAAGUUAAUACCUUGCUGUUUUGACGUUACCAACAGAAUAAGCACCGGCUAACUUCGUG
Molecule: ribosomal RNA, 484 nt
Filed under: uncultured bacterium
Lineage: Bacteria
Description: partial 16S ribosomal RNA
Rfam family: Bacterial small subunit ribosomal RNA
Source: RNAcentral